RNAcentral lists this long non-coding RNA (199 nucleotides) under Elaeis guineensis (African oil palm). Its description in RNAcentral is "long non-coding RNA (EGUI_LNC039986)". Lineage: Eukaryota; Viridiplantae; Streptophyta; Magnoliopsida; Arecales; Arecaceae. The record is from RNAcentral.
GAGUAAAGUCGUUCAUGGCCAGAAGAAGUCUGGAAGAGAUUCGGAGAAUAGUCGAUCACUGUAGAGAAUCGGCUGAUAGUGAAGUUCAGAGAGCAUUUGGGGCAGUCCGAUAGAUGAAUGGAGGAGCUCAUUAUUGGAGGAGUCCGGAUGGUAUUGUAGAAGCUCAGACGGUCGGAGGAGUUCAGAGAGAGACACCGCA